CCCUUAGAUGUUCUGGGCCGCACGCGUGCUACACUGAGUGGAUCAGCGGGUCAGGUUGCGCGAAAGCGUUUCCUAAUCUUGAAAUCCGCUCGUGAUGGGGAUUGACGGUUGCAAUUUUCUGUCAUGAACGAGGAAUACCUUGUAAGCGCGAGUCAUCAUCCCGCGCUGAAUACGUCCCUGCCCUUUGUACACACCGCCCGUCGCUCCUACCGAUUGAGUGGUCCGGUGAGGCUUUGGGAUCUGAGCGGAAAGAGCGUUUCGCUCGUUCUGCCCAGAAAACUCAGUCGAACCUUAUCAUUUAGAGGAAGGAGAAGUCGUAACA
RNAcentral lists this ribosomal RNA (322 nucleotides) under uncultured eukaryote. Its description in RNAcentral is "partial 18S ribosomal RNA". It matches the Rfam family "Eukaryotic small subunit ribosomal RNA", at positions 1470 to 1796 of the family's 1831-position model. The record is from RNAcentral.